AACCAUAGAAACCUGCGGAGUACCUGCGGAAGGAUCAUUACGAGAGUGUCACCACUCCCAACCCAUUGUUUACCUACCCGUCCACCGUGCUUCGGCAGGCAGCCCUGUGGGACAGAGCCUCGCCCCCUUUCGCGGGGGGUGCCUGCCGCUUGCCAACCAAAACUCUAGCUGUUUUAGUACCAUCUGAGUCUUCCACAAAUGAACAAAACUUUCAACAAUGGAUCUCAGAUCGGAAGAGCA
Molecule: unclassified non-coding RNA, 240 nt
Filed under: soil metagenome
Description: partial contains 5.8S ribosomal RNA, internal transcribed spacer 2, and large subunit ribosomal RNA
Source: RNAcentral